UCCCUGGUGGCUCAGAGGGUAAAGUGUCUGUCUGCAAUGCAGGAGACCCAGGUUCGAUCCUUGGGGUGGGAA
RNAcentral lists this transfer RNA (72 nucleotides) under Ovis aries (sheep). It matches the Rfam family "tRNA". From Rfam's summary of the family: Transfer RNA (tRNA) molecules are approximately 80 nucleotides in length. The record is from Rfam by way of RNAcentral. Lineage: Eukaryota; Metazoa; Chordata; Mammalia; Artiodactyla; Bovidae.